Molecule: ribosomal RNA, 503 nt
Filed under: uncultured bacterium
Lineage: Bacteria
Description: partial 16S ribosomal RNA
Rfam family: Bacterial small subunit ribosomal RNA
Source: RNAcentral
AUUGAACGCUGGCGGCAGGCUUAACACAUGCAAGUCGAGCGGGGUGAUGGUGCUCGCACUAUCACUUAGCGGCGGACGGGUGAGUAAUGCUUAGGAAUCUGCCUAUUAGUGGGGGACAACAUCUCGAAAGGGAUGCUAAUACCGCAUACGUCCUACGAGAGAAAGCAGGGGAUCACUUGUGACCUUGCGCUAAUAGAUGAGCCUAAGUCGGAUUAGCUAGUUGGUGGGGUAAAGGCCUACCAAGGCGACGAUCUGUAGCGGGUCUGAGAGGAUGAUCCGCCACACUGGGACUGAGACACGGCCCAGACUCCUACGGGAGGCAGCAGUGGGGAAUAUUGGACAAUGGGGGGAACCCUGAUCCAGCCAUGCCGCGUGUGUGAAGAAGGCCUUAUGGUUGUAAAGCACUUUAAGCGAGGAGGAGGCUCUUUUGGUUAAUACCCAAGAUGAGUGGACGUUACUCGCAGAAUAAGCACCGGCUAACUCUGUGCCAGCCGCCGCAGUAA